GGCACAGUGGCGGAGUGGUCUAACGCGUGUGACUCGAAUGGUGCAAUUUCCAAUCAUUAAAUUCGAACAUCUUAAGUCGAGUGAAGGAAAUACCCUAAAAGUGAUCACAUCUCUUCGGAGGCGCCCGUUCGAAUCGGGCCUGUGUCG
Molecule: non-coding RNA, 147 nt
Organism: Rostrohypoxylon terebratum
Lineage: Eukaryota; Fungi; Ascomycota; Sordariomycetes; Xylariales; Hypoxylaceae
Source: the annotation of a GenBank genome assembly